This is a non-coding RNA of Podarcis lilfordi (Lilford's wall lizard), 70 nucleotides long. Lineage: Eukaryota; Metazoa; Chordata; Lepidosauria; Squamata; Lacertidae. The record is from the annotation of a GenBank genome assembly.
GGAUAGCUCAGUCGGCAGAUCAUGAGACACCCAAUCUCAGAGUCGUGGGUUCCAACCCCAUUAUUGGGCA